RNAcentral lists this ribosomal RNA (828 nucleotides) under uncultured bacterium. RNAcentral describes it as "bacterial SSU rRNA". It matches the Rfam family "Bacterial small subunit ribosomal RNA", at positions 8 to 878 of the family's 1533-position model. The record is from RNAcentral.
AGAGUUUGAUCCUGGCUCAGGAUGAACGCUGGCGGUAUGCUUAACACAUGCAAGUCGUACGGGAAAAUUUAUUUUCCUAGUGGCGGACGGGUGCGUAACACGUAAGAACCUACCUUUUGGAGGGGGAUAACAUCGGGAAACUGAUGCUAAUACCCCGUAAUAGCUGAGGAGUGAAAGCGGUUUUCCGCGCCAAGAGAGGGGCUUGCGGCUGAUUAGCUAGUUGGUGGGGGUAACGGCCUCCCAAGGCCACGAUCGGUAGCUGGUUUGAGAGGACGAUCAGCCACACUGGGACUGAGACACGGCCCAGACUCCUACGGGAGGCAGCAGUGAGGAAUUUUCCACAAUGGGCGAAAGCCUGAUGGAGCAAUACCGCGUGGAGGAAGAAGGUUCGUGGAUCGUAAACUCCUUUUCUCAGAGAAGAAGAUCUGACGGUAUCUGAGGAAUAAGCUCCGGCUAACUUUGUGCCAGCAGCCGCGGUAAUACAAGGGGAGCAAGCGUUAUCCGGAAUGAUUGGGCGUAAAGCGUCUGUAGGUGGUUCUUUAAGUCUACUGUCAAAUACGUUGGCUCAACCAACGGCAGGCAGUAGAGUACUAAAGAACUAGAGUGCGGUAGAGGUAGAGGGAAUCCCUAGCGUAACAGUGAAAUGUGUAGAUUUUAGGGGGAACACCAGCGGCGAAGGCGCUCUACUGGGCCGAUACUGACACUGAGAGACGAAAGCUAGAGGAGCGAAUAGGAUUAGAUACCCUAGUAGUUCUAGCUGUAAACGAUGGAAACUAAGAGGGGGUAACCCCCNUUCUGUAGCUAACGCGUUANGUUUCCCGCCUGGGG